GGCUCAGGAUGAACGCUAGCGACAGGCCUAACACAUGCAAGUCGAGGGGCAGCACAAGGAGCAAUCUGAGGUGGCGACCGGCGCACGGGUGAGUAACACGUAUGCAACCUGCCUGUAAGCGGGGAAUAACCCGUUGAAAGACGGACUAAUACCGCAUAAUACUAAAUUACUGCAUGGUAAUUUAUUUAAACAUUUAUGGCUUACAGAUGGGCAUGCGCAUGAUUAGCUAGUUGGAGAGGUAACGGCUCCCCAAGGCAACGAUCAUUAGGGGUUCUGAGAGGAAGGUCCCCCCACACUGGUACUGAGACACGGACCAGACUCCUACGGGAGGCAGCAGUGAGGAAUAUUGGUCAAUGGACGAGAGUCUGAACCAGCCAAGUCGCGUGCAGGAAGAAUUGUCCUAUGGAUUGUAAACUGCUUUUGCAGGGGAAUAAAGUGCAUCACGUGUGAUGUUUUGUAUGUACUCUGCGAAUAAGGAUCGGCUAACUCCGUGCCAGCCGCGGC
RNAcentral lists this ribosomal RNA (504 nucleotides) under uncultured bacterium. Its description in RNAcentral is "bacterial SSU rRNA". It matches the Rfam family "Bacterial small subunit ribosomal RNA", at positions 21 to 518 of the family's 1533-position model. The record is from RNAcentral.